Molecule: long non-coding RNA, 368 nt
Organism: Hordeum vulgare subsp. vulgare (domesticated barley)
Lineage: Eukaryota; Viridiplantae; Streptophyta; Magnoliopsida; Poales; Poaceae
Exons: 3
Source: RefSeq, a predicted model, not a curated record
GCCCACGAGACGAAUCAACCGCAGCUGGACUAGGGCCUAGGGCAACCGACGGCGGCGGCGCAGGAACAAUUUUGUAGCCACUCGACAGAAAUCAGCGGUGGUGCGGGGGCAUCCAUCAGCAUCCAUACGAGGGCUUCAAGCAACGGCUGCGCGAGGGCAUCAAGCAAGUGCAACGCCAGGAGAUUAGGUGAGGUACCUUGCAAAACUAUUUGCGUAUUGCCACAAGCUGAAUCCGCUUCUCCCAGUGCCACCUCGUAGCAUAUGGUUGCUGAAUAAAGGGAGUAGUUUGUGUGAGCAGCUGCAAUGCAUAAUCAAAGUUGUGAAAAACAAGGCUAGGAAUGGAGGAGCUAGCAGCAGCCAUGUACACC